This 2631-nucleotide ribosomal RNA is filed under the name wastewater metagenome. Its description in RNAcentral is "bacterial LSU rRNA". It matches the Rfam family "Bacterial large subunit ribosomal RNA", at positions 1 to 2623 of the family's 2925-position model. The record is from RNAcentral.
GAAGGUUACUUAACGCAUGGUGUGGAUGCCUUGACUGAAGCAAGCGAUGAAGGACGUAGGAGGCUGCGAAAAGCCUCGGGGAGCUGUCAACCAAGCUGUGAUCCGGGGAUGUCCGAAUGAGGAAACUCUCUUGUGCGUGCACAAGAAUCGUGCUCUGAAUACAUAGGGGUACGAAGCAAACCCUGGGAAUUGAAACAUCUCAGUACCAGGAGGAAUAGAAAUCAAUAGAGAUUCCGAGAGUAGUGGCGAGCGAAAUCGGAACAGCCUAAACCGCAUACUUGUAUGCGGGGUUGCAAGGCUCAUUGACUCGAUCGAUCGGGGUCCGUCAACUUUUUUUAGCAGAACAGUCUGGAAAGACUGACCAGAGGGGGUAAUAGUCCCGUACGCGAAAAAAAGAGUUGCCGGAUGAAUGAGUUCUUAAGUAGGGCGGGGCCGGAGAAACCCCGUUUGAAUCCGGGAGCACUAACUUCCAAGGCUAAAUAUUGCUUCAGAUCGAUAGUGAACUAGUACCGUGAGGGAAAGGUGAAAAGCAUCCCGAUAAGGGAGGUGAAAUAGAACUGAAACUCCAUGCUAACAAAGAAUUGGAGCCUCGACGUAAGUCGGGGUGACAGUGUGCUUUUUGCAGCACGAUCCAACGAGUUAGUUCUGCGCGGUUGUUUAAGGGGUGACAAACUCCGGAGACACAGUGAAAGCGAGCCUUAAUAGGGCGACUUAUAAUCGCGUGGACUAGACCCGAAGCCAGACGAGCUACACAUGAGCAGGGUGAAGCGUCGGUAAAACGACGUGGAGGCCCGAACCCACUAGUCGUGCAACUCUAGGGGAUGACUUGUGUGUAGGGGAGAAAUUCCAAUCGAGUUUGGCAAUAGCUGGUUCUCUCCGAAAUAGCUUGAGGGCUAGCGUCCGGACAAUUAUACCCGAGGGGUAGAGCUACUGAAUGAGGUGUCGCCGUAAGGUAGGCUCCUCAAUCAAACUCCGAAUACUCGAGGUACGUACCCGGGCAGUCAGUACUACGGGGCUAAGCUCGUAGCACAAAAGGGAAACAGCCCAGACCGUCAGCUAAGGUCCCUAAAUUUAUGCUCAGUGGGCAAGGAAGUGAAGACUCUUAGACACUUAGGAGGUUGGCUUAGAAGCAGCCAUCCUUUAAAGAGUGCGUAAUAGCUCACUAAUCUAGAGUCUUUGCGCCGACAAUGUAACGGGGCUUAAGCAUAAUACCGAAGCUACGGAUUGCAUCGUAAGAUGCAGUGGUAGGAGAGCGUCCCAUACGCGCUGAAGCGGGAGGGUGACCGACCGUGAAGUGUAUGGAAGUGAGAAUGUUGGAAUGAGUAACCACAAGGCAGGUGAGAUCCCUGCCCGCCGAAAAUCCAAGGUUUCCUGGGCCAUGUUGAUCAACCCAGGGUUAGUCGGUCCUAAGGCGAGGCUGAAAGGCGUAGUCGAUGGACAGCAGGUUAAUAUUCCUGCACUGCUUGCAUAUUCGAUGGAGUGACGCAUCUCUGUACUUCUUGCCCCUUAUUGGAUUGGGGUUUGGGUUUCGAGGAUGUCAUACAGGUAAAUCCGUAUGGCAAUAGUCCGAGGAAUUCGACGAUUCUGGUAGCAAUACCGGAAGAGAAGAGGGAGCGGGGUGCCAGGAAAAGCUUCUCAGGUUCGUAUGCAAGUAUCCGUACCGGAAACCGACACAGGUGGAUAGGUCGAGUAGACCAAGGCGAACGGGAGAGUAUUCGUUAAGGAACUAGGCAAAAAAGCUAGGCGUAAGUUUGCAAUAUGCCUUCCCGGUACCGCUUCGGCGGGAUCGGGCGCAGCGAAAGUUUUUCAACCGACUGUUUAUCAAAAACACAGCUCUCUGCAAACCCGCAAGGGGAAGUAUAGGGGGUGACACCUGACCAGUGCUGGAACGUUAACGGGAGCGGUGCAAGCCAAUCCCCGAAGCGCCAGUGAACGUCGGCGAUAACUAUAAUCGUCCUAAGGUAGCGAAAUUCCUUGUCAGGUAAGUUCUGACCCGCAUGAAAGGUGUAACGAUUUGGAAACUGUCUCAACGAACAUCCCGGUGAAAUUGCAAUGACGGUAAAGAUGCCGUCGACCUGCAGCAAGACGAAAAGACCCCAUGGAGCUUUACUACAACUUGGUAUUGACUUAAAGUUUUUGUUGCCGAGCAUAGGUGGGAGACUUCGAAGCGCCCCUUCAGGGGGGUGUGGAGUCAUCACUGGAAUACCACCCUGCAAAGAUUUUAAUUCUAACCUGCCGCCGUAAUCCGGCGGGGGGACAGUGCCUGGCGGGUAGUUUGACUGGGGCGGUCGCCUCCUAAAGAGCAACGGAGGCGUUUACUAAGGUUGGCUAGGUCCGGAUGGAAAUCGGGCCGAUAGCGCAAAAGCACAAGCCAGCUUUACUGAGAGACCGAUCAGUUAAUCAGUUACGAAAGUAGAAUUUAGUGAACCGACCAUCACUCGUAGGAGUGUGGAAGAUCAUCAGAUAAAAGCUACCCUGGGGAUAACAGGCUGAUCUUGCCCAAGAGUCCAUAUCGACGGCAAGGUUUGGCACCUCGAUGUCGGCUCAUCGCAUCCUGGGGCUGAAGCAGGUCCCAAGGGUUUGGCUGUUCGCCAAUUAAAGCGGUACGCGAGCUGGGUUCAGAACGUCGUG